AGAGCGAACGCUGGCGGCAGGCCUAACACAUGCAAGUCGAACGGACCCUUCGGGGUUAGUGGCGGACGGGUGAGUAACACGUGGGAACGUGCCUUUUGGUUCGGAAUAGCUCCUGGAAACGGGUGGUAAUGCCGAAUGUGCCCUUCGGGGGAAAGAUUUAUCGCCAUUAGAGCGGCCCGCGUCUGAUUAGCUAGUUGGUAAGGUAAUGGCUUACCAAGGCGACGAUCAGUAGCUGGUCUGAGAGGAUGACCAGCCACAUUGGGACUGAGACACGGCCCAAACUCCUACGGGAGGCAGCAGUGGGGAAUCUUGCGCAAUGGGCGAAAGCCUGACGCAGCCAUGCCGCGUGAAUGAUGAGGGUCUUAGGAUUGUAAAAUCUUUCACCGGGACGAUAAUGACGGUACCGGAGAAGAAGCCCGCUAACUCGUGCCAGCAGCCGC
RNAcentral lists this ribosomal RNA (440 nucleotides) under uncultured soil bacterium. RNAcentral's name for it is "bacterial SSU rRNA". It matches the Rfam family "Bacterial small subunit ribosomal RNA", at positions 26 to 518 of the family's 1533-position model. The record is from RNAcentral.